Molecule: long non-coding RNA, 663 nt
Organism: Otolemur garnettii (small-eared galago)
Lineage: Eukaryota; Metazoa; Chordata; Mammalia; Primates; Galagidae
Exons: 2
Source: RefSeq, a predicted model, not a curated record
CUGCCGCAUCCCCGCUGAGCUCCCUCCGGGCCUGGCACACAGUCGUCGUGCCCGGAGGAUCCUGCUCAGUUUCGUCCGCUCCCGCGCCCCGCCUGCCCUUGUAGAGCACGCCCUCAGCCCCUGGCCUGAGCCCCUCGAGCCAGUCCUGGGUUCUGACUGAGCGCAGGGUCGGCUCCGGGUGUCCGGGACAUGUGUGACACGCCGUGACCGCCUCGCAGCCCGUACUGACGCCCCGUACCCCUCCGUGGGCCAGCCGUGCCCCACUGGAGCCCCCGGGACAGGCCAGGACAUCACCAGUGACUGCUGCCUCCCACCAGAGCUGCCAGACCAGAGACCUCACUCCAUUCUCAGAGUGGAGGCUGGACCUGCUGGAUGCAGUGACUCCCUCAUGUUUCAGCCCAGGUCCUUGCUGCCAACGGGCUGGGCAGUCAGGAACCCAGAGUCAGCCUGGGGCAAGGGGAGGGGCCCCAGCCCACUCUCCAACCUGGGACCAGGCUGAAGGUCUAGUUGUUGGGGACAGCAGGGCCCCAAGAGGACAGGGUUAUCCUGCCACCGGCACACCAUCUGUCCUCACACAGCCACACUUCAGCCAAAGAUCUUGGCUGGGGAGAUAGUGUGACUUGGCCCAGGGUGGAUUGAACAUGUGCUGGCUUGUGCUCUCAA